GGCUUGUGCUUUACUGCAUGUGGUCUCUGCGUGUGCAGAGAUAGACCACUGGAUAGUCACUUUCAUAUAUCCUCCUUUUUUUGCAUGGUGUAAAGUGCUUUACUGAGAACCUGAUGAAAUCCUGACGUCUGGCCACCUGAUAACCUGCCCACUUGACCCUUUCCCGUCCUCCCUACUCCAGACCAUCUCAGGAGACCUUCUCACAUUCCCCACUUCCCUCAUCAACUCAUCCCUGACCCCUGGCUGCGUCCCAUCUGACUUCAAGCAGGCCAAAGUCGCUCCCCUCCUCAAGAAACCAACACUCGGCGCGGCCCCUCUGACGUCAAAAACUACAGACCAGUAGUGACACGCAUUUCGGCGAGCCUGGAAGAUAUCUCAGCUUGGAUGUAGACCCAUCACCUCAAGCUCAACCUUGACUAAAUGGACCUGCUCUUCCUCCUGGGAAAAGCCUGCCCGCUCCAAGACCUCUCCAUCACGGUUGACAACUCCAUGGUGUUUCCCUCCCACAGUGCUAAAAACCUUUCCGUGGCCCUGGACAACACCCUGUCGUUCUCUGCAAACAUCAAAGCAGUGACUCGCUCCUGCAGGUUCAUGGUGAACAACCUUGGUAUGAACUUUCCUCACAAAGAAAGUGGCUCAGGUCCUAAUCAAGGCACUUGUUAUCUCCCUUCUAGACCACUGCAACUCCCUGUUGGCUGGGCUCCCUGAUUGUGCCAUCAAACUCCUGAAACGUAUCUAGAAUGCUGCAGCCCGCCUGGUGUUCAAAAUUCUGAAGUUAUCCCAUGUCACCCAGCUCCUCGGCACAUUCCAACGGCUUCCAGUCAAAGCUCAAGUCAUCUUCAAAACCCUAGUGGAGCAGCAUGGGGAAUCGAGCACUCCAUUCCGCCACCUCUAAUCUCUUGGCCCUCUCAUUCCUACGGGUGGGCAGCUCCCACUCAGCCCAAUCAAAUCUCCUCUCUGUCCUGGCACCCAAAUGGUAGAAUAAGCCUUCCCAUAAAGUCAUGACAGCAGAGUCCCUGCCCAUCUUUCAAAAACAUUUAAAACACUACCUCUUUGAAGAGUAUCUUAAAUAACUCACAUGGAGUUCUUUAAAAAAGAAGAAAAUGCCAUUUCUCUUUUCCAUGAGCACUGACUUGAUAUGUACUUGAUACGGAUGUGAUGUAUUUUUGUCUCAUCUAGCUACAUUAAGAUGAGGGCACAAAUUGUAAGUAUCUCUGGAUAAAAGCUAAUCGCUAACUGGCUAAAAUGUAAUGUAAAAAUGUAAAACAAACUUACAAAGAGGGAAACACGUAGAAGGACUAUCCAUACCAAACUUGAAAUUGUAUUUCGAAGCACUAACAUUUCGUCCCAUCCUAAAUUGGUUUAGACAUGAUUAUUCUGCCCCCUGACUGAGUAUAGAGAGAAAAAUAUGGUGUCUCAUAUUGCCCUGGAAGAGGUGUUAUUCACUGAUAUAUCCAUUAAACAAUUUAAACUAAGUUUUGGUCCUAUUAUUGCUCGCACAAUAUUCGCCGCAAAAUGUAAGAACAAUGUAACUGGGAUUCCUCCAAUAUUUCACAAUAAUGCCUUGCGAUCUGGUUGGCAUCCAUUUGCAUCUCCCCAAUGGUCCAAAUGUGGAAUCUGUAGCCUUAGCGAUAUCAUGGGCAGUAAUGGUUUGAGAACAAUUCAACAUUUGAAAGACACAUACACAUUACCAGGCAACACAUUUUUUUAUAUAUUUACAAUUUAGGUCAGCUAUGCUGGCCUGUAGUGUCCCUUGGGAAACAAACCAUCCAAUGAUAGGAUUUAGAAAUACAUUUAAGUUUGGCUAGGCGGGGUGGGGUGGGAUACAUAGUUUCCGGGUGAGGAAAGAGGAUGCAUACAGGUGGAUGGGGACUGUAGGUUGGGGUUAUUUUUGUAUGCAUUUCUUUGAUUGUUUUUGUACUUGUAACAAAAAUGACAAAAGUACACUGAUUCACGACAUUAGCAGCCUGGUGGUCCAAAAUAGCAUAAUUGGUGCAUUUUAACACCAAUAAACCCAUCUGUUUAAAAAUGAAUUUAGUAUAUGUCAUUCUAGCAAACCAGGCAACUAAAAGAAACUGUCAGUGUCAAUGUUUGUGUUCCUUUAUAGCUUGUUAGCUAGCCAACAUUAAGUUAGCUGGCUAGCCAGUUCAAAUAAUGACUAUAUCAUAUAGCUGACAAAAUCUUAACUUUCGCUCAUUUGUAUUCAUUAUUACAGGAAAAUAAACUCGCAACAAGACCAUGGUUUACAAGUUAAUGGCAAACUAAUUAUAGUAAAUAGCUUACGGUUGUGAGUGUGACGAAAUAAAAGCAGGGCAUUCCACCAGAGAAUUUUAGAACUUGGACAUUGUCUCAUUGGCCUAUCGUUAUAUCCUAAUUUGACUUUGGUGCAAGUCAUUUUGUUCUUCACAUUACCGUCUUUGAUAAACACACACUAUAUAAAAUAAAAUCUGUGUUUAUUUGUUACAUGCACAUUUCUGCCCAAGAACUCAUUUUGAUUUAAAAGAAUGUUUACUUCCAAAUGCAUUUCUGGUGAAGUAGUUAUGCGUGACAUAUACCUAGUUUCCUGAAACAAGUCACAUACACCAUGCAGUUUUGAUGCUUGCAUCCCAUAAUAAAGAAGCAGAAUCCAGCUGAGAAAUGUGCUGUACAGUAUGUAGCAUGCAUGUGUACAUGUUGAAACACAAAGUUGAGAAGAGGGUAAUGAAUAAAAUAUGAAUAAUCUGCCAUGUC
Molecule: long non-coding RNA, 2730 nt
Organism: Oncorhynchus kisutch (coho salmon)
Lineage: Eukaryota; Metazoa; Chordata; Actinopteri; Salmoniformes; Salmonidae
Exons: 3
Source: RefSeq, a predicted model, not a curated record